UAAUUAAAAUAUAGAUCUCGGAUUUCGUUAUACUACGUUAUACUACAUACGAAGAUCUAACAAGUACCCUACAAGGUUUCACUUUUGUGACCUUAUAUAACGUAAUAUUUGACCCCAGAAAGUAUUUAUAUCGACCAAUCAGAAUGCUCCUUAUAAACGCGACCUAGGAACAUGUUGAAGAUGGCGACGUAGAAAUGGAAAAACAGGCCUACCUAACUUCCGGAUAGACGCCAUAUUGGAAAAAACCGGUCAUAGUCAAAGAGUCAAUGGAAAUACAUGGAAUCCAACAUCCUAGCUGCUUUUGCAAUUUUUCAUACAGACUGUGAAAACAGUUACUAUAGAGUAUAGUGUUCUUUAAAACGUUGUACAUGUUGUAGUGUUGUAACGAAUUACUUUUCAUCAACUAUAUGUACAAAAAUGAAUGAAGAAGGUUAGGAUGGAAAACUGGUGAAGAUGAAGGUUACAAUUGUGAUCUACAUAUUGAUUAGUUUGAAGCAGAUUUUGUUCUAAAGAGGGAAAUAAAUAAACAGUGUGUUUUAUAAAGAUGUUCAAUUAUUUACACAACAACAAAAAUAAUCAUUGUAUGAGAGAUAAAUGGAUAUAAGUGUAAAUAAAGACACUUUAUUUUCUU
This is a long non-coding RNA of Mytilus californianus (California mussel), 631 nucleotides long. RefSeq lists it as uncharacterized. NCBI's taxonomy places the organism in Eukaryota, Metazoa, Mollusca, Bivalvia, Mytilida, Mytilidae. The transcript is spliced from 3 exons. The record is from RefSeq and is a predicted model, not a curated record.